Molecule: ribosomal RNA, 493 nt
Filed under: uncultured Eubacteriales bacterium
Lineage: Bacteria; Bacillati; Bacillota; Clostridia; Eubacteriales
Description: bacterial SSU rRNA
Rfam family: Bacterial small subunit ribosomal RNA
Source: RNAcentral
GAGUUUGAUCCUGGCUCAGGAUAAACGCUGGCGGCGCACAUAAGACAUGCAAGUCGAACGGACUUAACUCAUUCGUUUUAGUUUGAGAGCGGUUAGUGGCGGACUGGUGAGUAACACGUAAGCAACCUGCCUAUUAGAGGGGAAUAACAGUGAGAAAUCAUUGCUAAUACCGCAUAUGCUAACAGUAUCGCAUGAUACAGUUAGGAAAGGAGCAAUCCGCUAAUAGAUGGGCUUGCGUCUGAUUAGUUAGUUGGUGGGGUAACGGCCUACCAAGACUACGAUCAGUAGCCGGACUGAGAGGUUGAACGGCCACAUUGGGACUGAGAUACGGCCCAGACUCCUACGGGAGGCAGCAGUCGGGAAUAUUGCGCAAUGGAGGAAACUCUGACGCAGUGACGCCGCGUAUAGGAAGAAGGUUUUUCGGAUUGUAAACUAUUGUCGUUAGGGAAGAUAAAAGACUGUACCUAAGGAGGAAGCCCCGGCUAACUAUGUG